Molecule: long non-coding RNA, 3582 nt
Organism: Cavia porcellus (domestic guinea pig)
Lineage: Eukaryota; Metazoa; Chordata; Mammalia; Rodentia; Caviidae
Exons: 2
Source: RefSeq, a predicted model, not a curated record
CCGAGCCGCAGGCGCCCCCCAGCAAAGUGACACUUCUGUCCCGGGCAGGGGCACGGCCCAGGCAGGGCCCCCGGAGUCCCCGGCGGGGCCGAGGGCUGCAGCCUGGCCCUCUGCAAACCCAGCGCGCUUCCCUGCCAGCAGCUCGCCUGCUCCAGCCAGGCCCAGGGCACAGGGCCGAGCCCCGCCGACGCGAGCCCCGAGCAGCUCCGCGGCCUGUGCCCCAGGUGCUCUGGCGCCACGUGCCGGCCUCCGGGUCUGCUUGGGGGACACCGAGACCCUAGGGCCGUCCUCUUCGCAUUUCCAGGUCUGCAGUUCCCAGAGGGUGCUCCGGGGUGGGGGAAGCAUCAAACCAAGCAGAACGUGCACCGCGUGUUGUCCAAGAGCAGCGCUGGAAGAUGCUGUGAGGUGAGUAGUGCCCCCUGCAACAUGCUCCUGCUACGACGUCUUGCCUCACCAUAGGCCCAAAGCCACUGUCCAGUAGCCGUGGACUGAACCCUCUGAAACCAUAAGCCCAAAUAGCGCUUUUUGACUUUAAGUUGUUACAGUGAUGGAGAAAUAACUGACAUAAGAGUUAUAUAUAAGAGUAUAUAAGAGGGACUUCCAGGAGAACAUGGCAGACAGAUAGCAGCAGCUACGGAGGCUCUCUGUAAGACCCAGCUUAGAAUCCAGGAAUGGUGCAGAGUGAGGAAUCCUAAGCAAGAGGAGAUAUACCCUGCUGACCCAAGAACGAACUGGGCUGAGAGAAACCAACUGGGAAUGCAAUCCUGGUGCUAUAACAGGAACAGAUAAAGCCUCAGGAUGGAAGCUGGAGCCCGUGCCAUUGGAAGAUGCGGUUUGGGUUUUCUGCCGCCGCUGUAGCGUCUGAAUUGGCUUGGCAGGGAGAGAGAUGCGUGAAAGCUCUGAGAACAGGAAUCGGUGAACGGAGUUGAGAGCGGGACAGGCAGGGAGCUGUGCAUCAACCUGCAGUGAGUGAGAGAAACUGGGACUCUUCCACAAUCUAGGAGGCUCCAACAGAGGACAUUCUGGGACCAGGCAGACUUGCUGGAACAGGGCGCUGUAGUGACUUCAGUCACAUAUCCCCCUCUCAAGCGGGAUUGGUGAGCAAUGCCUAACCUACGUGACGCUGCUGGCUGAGACCCAGUAGGCUAGCACAACCCAGGUCCCAGCGCCUGAAGGUGACCUGGAGGGGCGGGCCCCACAUGGGCUGCCUGGUCUGUAACUCCCUGGUGCACUGCGGUGGGUGGGAACACCUAGCUGGCGCAAUUCAAACAGACUGUGGCCAACAGGGAAGGAAGCUGGGCCUCCUAUAUAAGCUUGUAUAUAAGGAACAAAGAAUAUGGGAAGAGGGAGCAACAAGAAAGGCUCCUCGGCCCCCAAUCCUGAGAAACAGGCAAUAGCAGACACAGCACCAAUAGACAUAAAGUGCUAUCUCCAGAGCCUCACAGACGAGUUCAGGAAUGAAGUUAUUAAUGACCUGAAGCAAGACAUAAGCAGAAUAGUUAGAGAAAUGCUAAGCACCACCCAAGAAAAAACAGAUGGUGGAAUGGAAGAACAGAAAAAAAAGGGGAGAAUUGUUUAAUGGAGAAAAUAGAGAAAGCAUAGAAUACAUGAAGCAGGUUCAAAGAGAUUACCAGGAAACUAAAAACUCUAUCGAAAACUGGCAUAACAGCUUGAAAGAAACUAAGGACAGAUUAUCUGAACUGGAGGGCAGAUUUGUAAUAUGGGAGCAUGAAAUGAAAAAUUUAAAAGGUAAAGAUACUCAGAUGUAUGAGGCAUACAGGACCCCAGCCACCUACAACCCAAACAGAGCUACACCCAGGCAUAUAAUAAUCAAAAUACCAUAAAUCCAAUAUAAGAACAGAAUAUUAAAAGCUGUCAGAGACAAGAAACAGAUCACUUACAAGGGAACACCCACCAGAAUUACAGCAGACUUCUCACACAAGCCAUCAAAUCAUGAAGAGCGUGGGGGAAAAUAAUUCCAGCUUUGAAAGAUAAUAACCUCCAGCCAAGAUUGAUAUAUCCUGCACAACUAUCCCUGGAAAUUGAUGGAAAAACAAAGUACUUCCAGGAUAAAGAGGAACUAGGGGAAUUUGCAAACACCAAUUCAAUUCUCAGAGAAUACUGCAGGAUAUUCUAAAAAAGAAAAAUAUGAAGAUUCCAGAAAUAGUGGCAGAGAGGCCACAAUUAAUGGAGCAGAAAACAAAAUGAAGAAGACAAACUGACAACUAAUGACAGAAAAAGAGCUCAACAGAAAUGAGGCAGAGAAGGUUGGAUGGUAGGAACAGCCAUUUUGGAGAAAACGAUGUCAUAAUAGGUAAUGCUGAUUUAGUAUUAUCUUGUUUUGAAGUCCCAUCAAGCUUUUGGUCUUCUGUCUCCAUAGGUCUUAACAUGUUAUAUCUUAUUGGAUUUUAUUAUAUGUGAUAGUAUAAACAAAAACUUUUAUAGACAAGGAGAUUAUACAGAAACCAUUGUUCAUUUUCUGUUAGUUGAUUCUAAAUACCCUGUAAUACUGUCAUUCUCUUGAAUGGUUUUACAUUGUUUUGAUAUAUUUGAUGCUACAGUAUACGAAGUUAUACUCAAAGAUUUCAAGGAAAGAGACAAUAUGGUAACUACUUUUGUGUCGGGAUUAUCUUGUGGUGAAACACUAUUUUGCUUAAACGGUUAUGUUUUGAUCUGCACUGUUUUGCUGUUAUGCCCUCUUUUAUCUCAAUCUCCAUUUUAUUAUUUACUUUUUUAUUUUUAUCCUUUUAGUUAAGGGAAAAAUAAAUUUUAAAAAACAGGAUAUAUUAUAGUAACCCACUUUGAUUUUCUAUUAACUUGAUUUGAAGCCCUGUAUUGCUCUCACCAUCUUGUUUUGACUGAUGUUCCUCUAUUCUGUUUUGCUUGAUAGUACCAGGUUCGAAAGUUUAGGCAACAGCUGUGAAGAUAGUGGGAUUCAUUAUGACGCCCAUUCUGGUUGACUAUUAUCUACUUUUGAAGACCUGUAAUGUUUCCCAUGUUUUGGUUUUGUUGGUUUCGUUCUUUACUGUUUUGUUCAAUUUUAUUAUAACUGAUGAUAUAGGCAAUUCUAUUAGAGAUAGCAGGAGGCAUUAUGGUAACUAUUGUUGAUCACCUUGUAUUAUGUUUUUACAUUAUCUAUUAUGUCCACCCUUUUGAUUUGACCGACUCUGUUCUGUUAUAAUAUUUGGUUUUACUCUCUUCCAAAAAAGUAAUAAGAACCGUGGGAGUAAUAAAACCCAAAAUGUGUAAUAGUCGUUGUACAAAAGAGAGGAAAAGAAAGUGCUCUAAAUGAUAUAACUUCAUGUAUAUUUAAGUGUAUAAGAUAGACAAUGACAUUACUAAGCUUUGUUGGAUCAUUGAACAGAACAGUUUGCAGUCUCACUGUUUGAAUGUCCACUUUAUAUGGUUUAAUUUUGUAACUUGAACAAAUAUUUCUAAGAUGACAAUAUGUAAUCCAGUAACAAGUAAUUUUGUACUGUUUAUUUUUUUCUGAAAUUCUGUAUAACUUGUACCCUUUUUUUUCUCUUUUUCUCCUUAAAUAAAAUGAAAUAAAAUAAAAGUAUAUAAGAGAAGCAGUGACAA